GACGAACGCUGGCGGCGUGCUUAACACAUGCAAGUCGAACGGAAAGGCCCGGCUUUUGUGGGGUGCUCGAGGGGCGAACGGGUGAGUAGCACGUGAGUAACCUGCACUUGACUGUGGGAGAACUUCAGGAAACUGGGGCUAAUACCGGAUAGGAGCUCCUGCUGCAGGGUGGGGGUGGGAAAGUUUCGGCGGUUGGGGAUGUAGCCGCGGUUGAUUAGCUAGUUGGUAGGGUAGUGGCUGACCAAGGCGUCGAUGGGUAGCCGGCCGGAGAGGGGGACCAGCCACACUGGGACGGAGACACGGCCCAGACUCCUACGGGAAGCAGGAGGGGGGAAUAUAGGACGAUGGGCGAAAGCCUGAUCCAGCAAUGCCGCGUGAGUGAUGAAGGCCUUAGGGUUGUAAAGCUCUUUUACCCGGGAUGAUAAUGACAGUACCGGGAGAAUAAGCGCCGGCUAACUCCGUG
This 463-nucleotide ribosomal RNA is filed under the name uncultured bacterium. RNAcentral describes it as "partial 16S ribosomal RNA". It matches the Rfam family "Bacterial small subunit ribosomal RNA", at positions 28 to 507 of the family's 1533-position model. The record is from RNAcentral.